GCCAGGAAUUUGCGCGCUCAAAAUGGACGCCAGUAUUCGUUAGUGCGUAGUAAUCUUUGACCUUGGGUAUACGUUAACUGCAUUGUAUAAAUUCAACCGACGCUUGACUAAUCCGUGAGAAGACAGUGGAACUUUCUCGAAGAAUUUAUUUCUCGGCUUUAUUUUAUUAAAUAAAAUAAAUGCAACUAAACUGAUCUUUUAGAUGUUCAAGAAUAAUUAUAAUUAAUCGAGUAACUUAAUAAAAUAAAUUCUUACGACAAUUAACAUCGCAAGGUCCUUGAGCAGUCCUCGGGUAUAAACCCCCUUGAGGAAUCUCAACGGCAACUAACAAAUAAAAUUUAAUUGCAAUAAAUUAAUUAUUGAAUUAUUAUUAAACAAAUUAUUAAUGAACAAGAAAUAACCAUAAAAAUGAUUAAUUAAAUGAGAAGUAAACCGAGUAUAAACCCCGCGGUCCACUCCUAGCCUACAGAGUAAUCAUUGAUACCUUUAUGAAUAUACGACGAUCUAACUCACUACUGGAGAUUCAAGUCCUAGAUGUUAUUGGCUUCUGUCGAUAGGUAACAAAUCCGGGGAUCCGUUCUUCUUGAUUUGUGGCACACUGUCUGGCGGUUACACUACUUCUCUCUGUUACAACGCAUGGCUCACCUAUAUAAUAACCCCCAAAAUACCCCCUCCUACUCUCUCUUUAGGCCUGAAGAUCGAGGCGCACCAGUGCUAGUCGAAUAGUUAUCGAUCUCUGGCGACUUAUCGAUACAAGGUAAUUUUACCCUGUUACAAUAUAAUUAUUUCUAAUUAUUUCAAAAUAAAUUUGGACUCGGCUUAGGUGAUGAGUCACCAAAACCGACAUUUCAAGGCGGCUUAUAUUCAUUCAAAAUUAUAUUUUAUAUUUUCACUUGGAAAAUUGUGAGUCACCAAAACGCAUUCGUCAUGUUCAUCUCGCGCUCAACCAAUUGUCGUGUUCAUGUCAAUUUUAUUGUAACGCAAUUGUUUAAAAUAACUACAUUUCAGUGAUAUUGUCUACGCUCAAAUAAUUAAUAGUUUAUAUUAAUGAUGCUAUUAAUUAAUUAAAUAAAAUACAAUCAAAUAGUCAAUGUGAUCUAAAGCAUUCAAAUGUUCAAAUAAGUUCAGGAAAUCAUGUGUUCGAACUCUGUACUGUGAUAAUUAUUUUAUUAAAUGACAAUAUUCCUUGAUUGGUGUUUUUAGUUCUUUAUCACCCUAUCCCGGCAAAUCAAAAAAUAAUUUUGUAAUUUUAAGUUAGUUUAUUUUACAUUAAUUGGUCCCUCGAGCCGGAUAGGGUGAUGAAAUCAGUGAAUAGUGAUCAUAGUCCACACAUUCCUAAACAAUCACUCAUUCGUUUUCUCAUGCAUUCUACAGGUAAUCAGUGGGAUCACAAUGUCUGACGACAAAGUCCCGCCUGCGAUCAACCCGGAUGGUGUCAUCGAGACUCCACUUCAACAGCAUCCAGUUACUCCAACGAUCACUCUCGACCCACCGGGCGGCCACUCAUCUACUGACAUUCAUGUCAGUGAUUCUGACCUCACUGAUGAUGGAAUCAACAAAAAUAAUCCACCUGCGGACCCGGAGAAUAAGAAGAAACCUCGUAAGAAGUCUACCGCGAAGUCUUGCGACUUGGAGUUCAAGAUCGCCGGUCAAAUGUCACGCCUGAGAGCCAUCUCAGACGCGGAAGCCAUUUCCGCCGCACUCACCGUGACCGAAGGUUCAGCUGCACUCAAGGCACGAUUGGAUGUCCUUACCCAGAUGUGGCAGCAGUUCGUACUCAACCACGAUCAGCUUGUAUCCUCUGGUACUCCAGAGCUCUUAGAGCAUUCAUAUGUUAAAGACGGCGUCUUUGACCUCGCGCAUCGAUCAUUCACCUGCGCUCAUACUCGCCUGUCUACACUCAUCAACCUACUCGCAGCUCCUGCUCAGCCUGUGGUAGCCACAGGCCACACACAAGAGAUCGCCAGUCCCGUUAGCCUGCCACCACUGGACAUUCCAGCCUUUGAUGGCAAUUACAGUGCUUGGCCAGACUUUCGCGACAUGUUUACCGCCAAUGUGAUCGAGAGAAAGGGAAUCAAGCCGGUGCAGUGCCUUCACUACUUAAAGAACUUCCUCAAGGGUUCAGCCGCUCAGCUCGUUGCGAAUCUGCCGAUGUCCAACGAGAAUUUCGAAACCGCAUGAGAUGCCGUUCGUCAACGAUACGACGUUCCCAGGUUACUCAUCGGAGCACAGCUAGACAAGCUCAUCAGUCUCCCAGUACUUACCUCAAGAUCAUCUACUUAACUCUAUUUACUUAUCAACCGCGUUCAUGAAGCACUCAUGGCACUCAAAGCUCAGAAUGUCGAGUUCAAUGAAGCUGACUCCCAUCUUCUAACCCAUCUCAUCAUCGGGAAGUUGGAUCGAUCAACCAGAGAGGCCUGGGAGGUGUCUCUUGGCUCUUCAGUAAAUUACCCGAGGCUCAACAAGCUAAAUGAAUUUUUGCUGGAGCGUGCACGUGCCCAAGAACGUUACGAGGGCACCACACCGAAUUCAGCCAACUUGAAAGGAUCAUCGCAUUCGUCAUAAAAAUCAUCAAAGGUCAAGCAGAACACUUACGCUUAUGUCGCGACAAGCGACAGCAUUCAAAACGCCCAAUCUUCACAAUCAAUUCCGGAGACUUCACUUCCCAAGAUACCGGUGCCAAAGCCUCAAUACCUUUGUGACAUAUGUGGUGGUGAACACUAUGUCGUACGGUGUGAACAAUUCGUCGCACUUACCAACAAGGAUAGCGCUCAAGCCAUCUUACGAUACAGACUAUGUCCCAACUGCCUUGGACAUCACCGAGUUGAAGUUUGCAAAUCUACUAAUCGGUGCAAAAUCUGCCAGAAGGAUCAUCACACAAUGAUUCACCCUGGUAGAUUUGAAACAACUAGCCAGAGCUCUUCCGCAUUGAACACUCAAUGAGAUCAUCAGCUUCCGUGUGAUCAUGCAACAAGUAAUCACCAAAGUUCAUCAGCAUUCAUCCACCAGCAAUCGUCCAGUAAUCAAGAUCAGCAAUCAAGAAAUCGCCAUACUCACAAUCAACUAACUCAGGCCUCACAUUCACCAGCUUAUCACCCUUGUCAAGUCAGCAACUUGUCAAGUCUACAUCGUGACAAAGCUAAGUACCAUUCCAAUUCGCUCUUUACUAGACACUGGUUCUGAGAUAUCCUUUAUUUCAGAUUCUUUAGUCCAAACACUUAAUCUCUCAUGCACUCAGUCACACUUAAACGUCCUGGGGAUCGGUUCCGCGAAGGCUGGCCGCACCAAAGGUUGUGUGAACAUCACUCUACGUUCUAAUGAAAUGUAAUCAUUUAGCUAACGAAAUCAACAUCAGAACACAUUUCCUGGGUGGACUGUCCACUCAAUUACCAGCCAGUUCGAUACCAGGUGUUGAUCUGGCAGCAUUCAGCGACCUCAAGCUCGUCGAUCCAGGCUUCUCUUCACCAGGCCCGAUUGAUAUUAUCAUCGGGUCCGAUUACUACGGUCAAAUCAUCAUCAACAAGAUUAUUCGAGGGGAAAACCCUGGGCUUUUCGCUCAAAACACCAUUUUUGGAUGGGUCAUUAUGGGUCCAGUCCGUAUUCGAGCUCGUUACUCCCCAAGGACAUUCCAUGCUAUCUCUACUCAUCAAGAUCAAAACCUUCAGAACCUUUUGACUCGGUUCUGGGUCCAAGAAGAAAUCACCAGCAUUCACACAAGUUCAUUUUCGCCUGAAGAAGAGGCCUGCGAGGCCCACUUCAAAUCAACACACACUCGAGACAGUAUGGGAAGAUAUAACGUCAGGUUACCGCUGUUAAAGAGUCCUGAUCAACUUGGAGAUUCCUUCAAGCCAGUAAUUCGAUGCCUACAUCAUCUCAUGGGUUAUCUAAACAAGGACGCCCGGCUCAAAGCACUCUACACAGAAUUCAUGGCGGAAUACAUCAAUUUAAACCACAUGGUACCCGCAAAUUCAUCUUCAGAUCGUACUCAGUACUUCCUGCCGCAUCAUGGGGUGCUAAAGAAAGUCAACAAUCAAUACAAGAUCCGUGUGGUGUUCAACGGCUCAAAACCAACCAGCUCAGGCCUAUCACUCAACGAUAUCAUGCAUACCGGAUCAAAACUACAAGUAAACAUCUUCUAUGUCCUAUUAAAAUCAAGACAGCACCGCUACAUCGUUAUCACUGAUGUGGCCAAAAUGUUCAGGCAAAUUAGAGUUCACGAGGACGAUCAACAUCUUCAGCAGAUCCUCUGGUUCGACCAGGAUGGCAAUAUUACGCCAUUCAAGCUAACAACGGUCACCUAUGGCACCAAAUCAGCGCCAUAUCUUGCUGUCAGAGCCCUGCUUCAACUUUAUAAGGACGAAGGACAUCGUUUCCCACUAACAAUCAAACCACUCACCGAAGGCCGCUACAUCGACGACAUUUCCGGAGACGCAGAUGACCUGGACUCACUGCAACAAGUUGCAGAUCAAAUCGAAGCACUCUGCAUGGCAGGCGAAUUCCCGCUAGCAAAAUGGGCAAGCAAUCAUGACGAACUUCGUCAACUUGAUCAUACGGAAGCGAUUACACAAUAUAAAAUUGAAGAUCCAGAAGCCAGCACCAAGAUACUGGGACUGUACUGGUCUCCAAUCAGCGAUCAUUUCUCAUUUAAGCAUUCACCACCAAGCUCAAUCAACGCAUGCACCAAGCGUUCAAUUCUAUCAGAGAUUGCUCAAAUAUUCGAUCCAUUGAGAUUUCUUUCACCACCCAUAAUCCAAGCCAAGAUGUUUAUGCAAGAACUCUGGCUUGUGAAGCUCAGCUGGUACACUCCACUGCCUGACAAUCUAUGCAACAGAUAGAGAGCAUUCAAAAAACAAUUAAUGGCAAUCAAUAUCAUCAAAAUUCCCAGAUGGAUCCACUCAUCCACACAUUUAACGCUCGAAAUCCAUGGUUUCUCAGAUGCCUCGCAGUUAGCGAUGGCAGCUGUUGUUUUUCUCAAGGUCCAGUCUAAUGACGAUACUCAAGCAAAGGUUACGCUGCUUUGCUCCAAAACCAAGGUGGCACCGUUGAAGCAUUUGACGAUUCCACGCUUGGAACUCACCGCUGCAUUCAUGUUGGCUCAACUCACCGCAUUCUGCCAGAAAACUCUCAAUCUCACUCAUGUGCCAACUUACUCAUGAACCGACUCAUCAGUAGCACUCAUGUGGAUACAAUCGCACCCUUCUAUGUGGAAGGACUUUGUCAGGAACAGGGUGUCAAAAAUUCAAGAUCUUCUUCCAGAUGGCCACUGGAAGUCCAUACCUGGCAAGGAAAAUCCAGCCGAUUGCGCUACGAGAGGUCUCUCAACCUUUCAGCUGAAAGAUCAUCAACUACGGUGGACUGGCCCACCAUGGCUGCUCAAGAAUUCAUCGUUCUGGCCAACUAGUCCAACUCACUCUGAUGCAGAUGCUCAUCUAGAAGAACGACCGAUCAAGCUCUUCUACUCAUCGGCUCAGCCACUGGAAUCACAAUGGCCUAUCAUGGACCGGCCAAUACCUCUCUUACGCAUGUUAAGAGCAACUGUAAUAUGCAUGAGAGUACGGGACAUGAUUAAACGCAAACCACAUUCAUCUCUGAAUCACGCAAUCAAGUCAACUGAGAUCAAUCAAGCACUCCAAUUCUGUAUCAAGGAAACUCAACGCAUUCAUUUUCACUCACAGUUCAAAAUGAUCAAAAAUCAAGCAUCAUGGCCAAAGGAUCACCCAUUUGCUCAUCUGACUGCCUAUUAUGACACCGAAGGCAUCAUUCGAGUUGGUGGGCGGUUGGAGAAUGCUCCAACUUCAGAACAGCAAAAGCAUCCUGCAAUACUACCUCGUGAUGCUGGGCUCACUAAACUCAUCAUCUCUGAUGCUCAUCGGCAUACACUCCAUGGUGGUACUCAGCUAACGCUCGCAUUCAUCCGCCAAAAGUAUUGGGUCAUCGGAGGACGUCAACCAGUGCGCUCGUAUAUCCUUCGAUGCCUUACUUGUGCUCAUCAUCGGGGCCUUAGGGCUCAACAACUCAUGGGUCAACUUCCAGCUCCUCGUGUGACUCCAUCUCCACCCUUUUCUCACACGGGAGUCGAUUACGCUGGUCCAGUCAUUAUCAAGGCAUGGCAAGGCCGGGGAACAAAGACGUUCAAAGGAUGAAUUUAUGUCUUCGUCUGUUUAGCCACUUCAGCAGUCCAUCUCGAAUUGGCACUCAGGAAUCAUAUCAGCUGUUCCAGAAUCAAUUCAACUGCCGAUCUAUACGAUAAAUUUAUAAAUGAUUCAUGGGCAAAAAUUUUGACAAUCGCUCUCUUA
Molecule: RNA transcript, 6296 nt
Organism: Cotesia glomerata
Lineage: Eukaryota; Metazoa; Arthropoda; Insecta; Hymenoptera; Braconidae
Gene: cue
Gene name: protein cueball
Exons: 2
Source: RefSeq, a predicted model, not a curated record